This 21-nucleotide microRNA is filed under the name Hordeum vulgare. Its description in RNAcentral is "hvu-miR6187". The record is from miRBase by way of RNAcentral. Lineage: Eukaryota; Viridiplantae; Streptophyta; Magnoliopsida; Poales; Poaceae.
UGAACAGGUUCGGCGACCUCA